UACGUAGGGUGCGAGCGUUGUCCGGAAUUAUUGGGCGUAAAGGGCUCGUAGGCGGUUUGUCGCGUCGGGAGUGAAAUCCACUGGCUUAACUGGUGGCUUGCUUUCGAUACGGGCAGACUGGAGGUAUGCAGGGGAGAACGGAAUUCCUGGUGUAGCGGUGAAAUGCGCAGAUAUCGGGAAGAACACCAAUGGCGAAAGCAGCUCUCUGGGACGGUACUGACGCUGAGACGCGAAAGCGUGGGGAGCGAACAGG
RNAcentral lists this ribosomal RNA (253 nucleotides) under uncultured bacterium. RNAcentral describes it as "partial 16S ribosomal RNA". It matches the Rfam family "Bacterial small subunit ribosomal RNA", at positions 524 to 776 of the family's 1533-position model. The record is from RNAcentral.